UACGUAGGGGGCAAGCGUUGUCCGGAUUUAUUGGGCGUAAAGAGCGUGUAGGCGGUCUGGUAGGUCCGUUGUGAAAACCCGUGGCUCAACUGUGGGCGGGCAGCUGAUACGGGCAGGCUGGAGUUCGGUAGGGGAGACUGGAAUUCCUGGUGUAGCGGUGAAAUGCGCAGAUAUCAGGAGGAACACCGGUGGCGAAGGCGGGUCUCUGGGCCGAUACUGACGCUGAGGAGCGAAAGCGUGGGGAGCGAACAGG
RNAcentral lists this ribosomal RNA (253 nucleotides) under uncultured bacterium. Its description in RNAcentral is "partial 16S ribosomal RNA". It matches the Rfam family "Bacterial small subunit ribosomal RNA", at positions 524 to 776 of the family's 1533-position model. The record is from RNAcentral.